Molecule: long non-coding RNA, 598 nt
Organism: Gasterosteus aculeatus aculeatus (three-spined stickleback)
Lineage: Eukaryota; Metazoa; Chordata; Actinopteri; Perciformes; Gasterosteidae
Source: Ensembl
GUAAGUGUUUAAACGCUUUAAAUUGAAUUUAUGUUUUUUUUUUAUAACGUGAAGCAAGAAUGCACAUGGGUUUGAUUAACAGCAUCUACUCGUGUCUUAGACGUUUGCAGUAUUUCUGACUGAAGCGGUGGCUUUUCAACUGCUGCACAUUUAAAUAUCAGUUGCUCAAGUGAGUCAUGUUGAGUUCACAACCAAUUAUUGUGUCAGCGUUAAUAACGUUGAUAGAGGCCUGACAGGAUCGCUUUGAUGGAGCCACUUUUUUAGAAAAUGUGAAGUCCCGGCAUCAUCACAGACCACAACCCCCUGUUCCCAUCUACGAGGAAAUGACCUGCAAGCAGCGCAGUCCGGUGGCCCCCAAAAAUAACCCUGAGGCCCCCUCACACCUGGAGGAAGUAAACUUCCCCGCGUACGCCAACACGGACAUCCGGCAGCCACAGGACAACUACUACGCAUGUCCCAGGCAGCUCGCCCUCAGGGCCUGAGGUGACUCGGUGGAGCAGAUGUCAACAGGAUGUGACAUCAGCGCCUCUGCAAACACACGAUGAGACGCUCAGGAUAUAUAUAUAUAUAUAUAUAUAUAUAUAUAUAUAUAUAUAUA